Long non-coding RNA from Symphalangus syndactylus (siamang), 117 nucleotides. RefSeq lists it as uncharacterized. Lineage: Eukaryota; Metazoa; Chordata; Mammalia; Primates; Hylobatidae. The record is from RefSeq and is a predicted model, not a curated record.
UGUGUAUCAAGAAACAAUGACAAAAAAUUAUACCCUUUGACCCAUUUAUUUAGGUAAUGCGUUCCUGUGGGACAAAAUCCAAAAGGAAAUAUAAUCUGAAUAUCAAGUAAACAUGGC